CAGGAAGCCCAGUUACAAGACAAAGAACAAAAGUCCUGGGGGAACGUCACCAGCAGAGUCAUCUCCACACAUGCAAAGGUCCCUUCUGCCUUUUUUUUUUUCCCCUUUGAAAUUUCAAAUUCCAGUUUGUGGACAAAGUCCUGCCUAUCUGAGAAUAUAGAUCUCCGACCACUGACCAAACUCCAGUCCAAGCAGUCCCGAGGACUGCUCUUCCCCUUGCCCACAGAUGCCUCUGCUCAGUCCUUGGAUCUGCCAGGAUUGUGCUGAAAUUUUGCACUGGAGCACAGCACUGGUACUUGCACAAAGAGGAUUUUUCACUUAAUGUCAGCAGCUCCCUUUCUGGGAAGGACCAUCAGGAAUAACCAGGAGUGUGCAGAGUGCCUGAACAGCCUGUGUUGUCCCCAGUGUCCCAGUUGCCAGAGCACAGCAAGGAGUCCCCGAUGUUCCAGGGCUGGCAAGAGGCUGCUCCCAUUAGAGCCAGAUGCAAGUGGGCAGAGUAACUUCAUCUUAAGUGAUUAAAGGGCUUGUCCAGCUCCUUGCAUUGCUUCUGUCAGGCAAAGCUGGCUGCUCACUACAGAAAUGAGGCUGGCUUUGCACCCUGGGGCAAAGCUGGACACAGGCACCCUGGAUGUGGGGGCAGCCAGAUCCAGCCAUCCUGCACUACCAUGUCUCCCAGGCUGAUGGGAACAGCCCUUGAGCCUCCCCUUCUCUUGCAAAGGACCACCACUGGCUCUCCAAGUCAGUCCCAGGAAGCUGGGUGGGCCAGGAGCCAUCUCCCAUCAGCAGCAGGGGCUUCAGCACAGAGGAUGCUCAACACUCACUGCUCCUGGGCCAGGAUCUGACACUCAGCACAUCUCAGAAACAUCAAGCCCUUGUUCCACCUGUUCACAAGCAUCUUGCAUUACAUGGCUCCUUGCACGUUGUCCAAGAAGCACCAGCUGGACACAAAGCCACGACCUGCACUGAACAGACCAAAAACUGGGCAUUUUUCUGAGUCCAGCUUUGUGUGAGGCCCAGUCCCAGUUCUGUAUCCUGCAGCUCAGAGGGCAGGGUGAACGGAGGUCCUCCAGGGACCUGGCUCCUGUGGGCCUGGGAUGCACAAAUGAGCAACCUGAUAAAAACAGGCUAAAACUCAGCAUUUCAUAACUGCUUGACCACAGCUACCUGGUCCAGCCCAGCACAGUGACACUACUACAGACCCUGUGCAGUUCCUACAUGUUUCUAUUGCCACAGGCCAUGGAUCCACCAAAAUGCUGAUGAGCCCAUGGCUCACCAUGGGGAGAUGUGAUCUGAAAUAAAGUGAUCUGCAGAGUACUGAAGUGUUGGGGA
RNAcentral lists this long non-coding RNA (1329 nucleotides) under Lepidothrix coronata (blue-crowned manakin). RNAcentral's name for it is "lncRNA (ENSLCOG00000009455.1)". Lineage: Eukaryota; Metazoa; Chordata; Aves; Passeriformes; Pipridae. The record is from RNAcentral.